CUACGGGUCGCUGCAGUGGGGAAUAUUGCACAAUGGGCGCAAGCCUGAUGCAGCAACGCCGCGUGAGGGACGAAGGCCUUCGGGUUGUAAACCUCUUUUAGCAGGGAAGAAGCGAAAGUGACGGUACCUGCAGAAAAAGCACCGGCUAACUACGUGCCAGCAGCCGCGGUAAUACGUAGGGUGCAAGCGUUGUCCGGAAUUAUUGGGCGUAAAGAGCUCGUAGGCGGUUUGUCACGUCUGCUGUGAAAUUUCGAGGCUCAACCUCGAACUUGCAGUGGGUACGGGCAGGCUAGAGUGCGGUAGGGGAGAUGGGAAUUCCUGGUGUAGCGGUGGAAUGCGCAGAUAUCAGGAGGAACACCAAUGGCGAAGGCACAUCUCUGGGCCGUAACUGACGCUGAGGAGCGAAAGCGUGGGGAGCGAACAGGAUUAGAUACCCGCGUAGUC
Molecule: ribosomal RNA, 444 nt
Filed under: uncultured bacterium
Lineage: Bacteria
Description: partial 16S ribosomal RNA
Rfam family: Bacterial small subunit ribosomal RNA
Source: RNAcentral